Molecule: non-coding RNA, 649 nt
Organism: Vicugna pacos (alpaca)
Lineage: Eukaryota; Metazoa; Chordata; Mammalia; Artiodactyla; Camelidae
Source: RefSeq, a predicted model, not a curated record
UGCUGCUAAAUUCUAAGGAUGAGAGUUACACAGUGUCAAGGCCAUCAGAGGAGGUUCAUCUGCUCCAGCGUUGCCUCCUGUCCACAUAGCAGAUGCUGUGGGUGUCUCCUCCCUAACUGUCCAGGCUUCUUUGGGAAGAGUGGUUCAUCAGUGAAGGGAAGUCCUCCUGAGAAGGAUCCAAGUGUGAGCUUUCAGCAGCUAGAUGGGAGCAGCAGCCAGGUACUCAGUGUUCCAAAGAGUUCAAAUGGAUCAGCAAAUCAGCCAAGGGAAGAAUGUAACAGGACUUCAGAGAUGUCAUCCUUUUGGUUAUUUUGCUGCUGGCCACAUGGGAGAGCCUACCUUUUAUAAAGAAGCAGAUGCUCUGCAUUUCUCUCAUACCUGUUUCCGAGCCAGGAGGAAGGGAGCUCAUCUGGUAGGAUAUUUAUCACCCAAGAAGUUUUGUUCAACCGCAUCAGCCGGUUGGUGUGUUGCAUUCAAUCAAGGGCCCUGACAGACAUGCCAGGAAGGUCAACUGAUAACACUAAUUUUUCUGGCACUCCUAAUGACAGGUUUAUUUGAUGAGAAUCUAUACCCCGCCCCCAAAUCUACUCAUGUUUUAUGGCAUGUCCCCCUAGCCCCAUUUGCUGCUUCACAUAUCUAUGGCUGCAUA